UCAAGGACAAUGCUUAAAGUUGUUCCCCAGGUUUUAUGAAACUUUAAGUUUAACUUUAAGUUUAAUUUCCAGGUUUUUUUACAUUUAUGGUUAAUUAUAUUAUUAUUAUUAUUAUUAUUGUCAUUUUAAGGUUGCCGGAAAUGUAGUAGGCAAAAAGUUUUCAAAUAUGACUCCAUAACAGGACGAAGGAUAAAUGAGGGGCAAGAGGAAGUAAGGGUGAAAUGGUUACCUUGCUCUGCAUGUGGAAAAAUCUGGGAGGAGACAUGGGAGCCGGCCUGCCAGUUCUCACCAGGUGCCAACCAUGUGUAAUGUCACACAUUGGUCUGUAAUUCAAUGAGUUAAAUACCUGCUAUGAGAUGUCAAGUUUGCCGUUACGGGCCCAGCCAUCCUGCUUGCGGAUGUGACUACUUUAGAUGAGGAGGAGCCGCGUUACACACUUUCAAUGGUUUCCACCCUAACAUGCUGUCAUGCUGUUUUUUCAUUUAUUUUUUAAGUAUUGAUUUUUGUUAAAAGCUGUGUUCAAAUAAAUCGAUGUAUACCUUUAUUUCUGUUUGUCUUUCCAUUCACCUUGUGGUUUAGCCAAUCAUCUGAAGUCUUCAAUGCAUCAAAUGAUAUAUUG
Long non-coding RNA from Micropterus salmoides (largemouth bass), 619 nucleotides. RefSeq lists it as uncharacterized. Lineage: Eukaryota; Metazoa; Chordata; Actinopteri; Centrarchiformes; Centrarchidae. The record is from RefSeq and is a predicted model, not a curated record. The transcript has 3 exons.